AGCCCUACUGGCUCAGUUGGUAGAGUGACCUGAAUGCCAUUCAGGCCGUCGCAGGUUCAACUCCUGCCGGGCUG
Non-coding RNA from Polyporus arcularius HHB13444, 74 nucleotides. The record is from the annotation of a GenBank genome assembly. Lineage: Eukaryota; Fungi; Basidiomycota; Agaricomycetes; Polyporales; Polyporaceae.